GCAAGUCGUACGAGAAAGCUUCCUUCGGGAAGUGAGUAGAGUGGCGCACGGGUGAGUAACACGUGAGUAAUUUGCCUUAGGGUUGGGGAUAACAUCUCGAAAGAGUUGCUAAUACCGAAUAAGACUACAGUUUCUUCGGGGACAGUAGCCAAAGGAGCUUCGGCUUCGCCUUUUGAUGAGCUCGCGUCCUAUUAGCUAGUUGGUAGGGUAAUGGCCUACCAAGGCGAUGAUGGGUAGCUGGUCUGAGAGGAUGAUC
This 256-nucleotide ribosomal RNA is filed under the name uncultured bacterium. RNAcentral describes it as "partial 16S ribosomal RNA". It matches the Rfam family "Bacterial small subunit ribosomal RNA", at positions 57 to 305 of the family's 1533-position model. The record is from RNAcentral.